CCGAAAUCUGCGCCGGAACCAAGCGGCAUCCAACAUUUGUCACAGCCAUGCUCACCACCACGGGGAACGAAAACCCCUGAACGGAGGGGUGUCAGCAGUAGCUAGUGGCAUCAGCUACUGCUGUAAACCCGUAGUUCAGGAGAUUGGGGUUGGUGGCUGCGAGCAUGGCAGUGACAAAUGUUGGAUGCCGCUUGGUUCCGGCGCAGAUUUCGG
Non-coding RNA from Ectocarpus siliculosus, 213 nucleotides. The record is from Rfam. NCBI's taxonomy places the organism in Eukaryota, Phaeophyceae, Ectocarpales, Ectocarpaceae.